UACGUAGGGGGCAAGCGUUGUCCGGAAUCAUUGGGCGUAAAGCGCGUGUAGGCGGUUCGGUAAGUCGGCUGUGAAAGUCCAGGGCUCAACCCUGGGAUGCCGGUCGAUACUGCCGGACUAGAGUUCGGAAGAGGCGAGUGGAAUUCCCGGUGUAGCGGUGAAAUGCGCAGAUAUCGGGAGGAACACCAGUGGCGAAGGCGACUUUCUGGCCUGUUCUUGACGCUGAGGCGCGAAAGCUAGGGGAGCAAACGGG
RNAcentral lists this ribosomal RNA (253 nucleotides) under uncultured bacterium. RNAcentral describes it as "partial 16S ribosomal RNA". It matches the Rfam family "Bacterial small subunit ribosomal RNA", at positions 524 to 776 of the family's 1533-position model. The record is from RNAcentral.